GACGAACGCUGGCGGCGUGCUUAACACAUGCAAGUCGAACGGAGAGGCGCUGCCUUUGUGGGGUGCUCGGGUGGCGAACGGAUGAGGAACACGUGAGUAACCUGCCCUGGACUUUGGGAUAGCUUCAGGAAACUGGGGCUAAUACCGGACAGGAGCUCCUGCUGCUUGGGGGGGGUGGGAAAGGGUCGGCUGUUGGGGCGGGUGUCGCGGGUUAUGAGGUUGUUUGUGGGGUAGUGGCUGAGGAAGGCUUUGACGGGUGGCCGGCCUGGGAGGGUGACCGGCCCCAUUGGGACUGCGAUACGGCCCAGCAGCCUAGGGGAGGGAGCAGUGGGGAAUAUUGUGCAACGGGCGGACGCCGGAUGCGGCAACGCCGUGCGCGUGAUGAAGGCCUUUGGGUUGUAAACCGCGUUUGCCUGUGACGAAGCGUGAGUGACGGUAACGGGUAAAGAAGCACCGGCUAACUACGUG
RNAcentral lists this ribosomal RNA (468 nucleotides) under uncultured bacterium. RNAcentral describes it as "partial 16S ribosomal RNA". It matches the Rfam family "Bacterial small subunit ribosomal RNA", at positions 28 to 507 of the family's 1533-position model. The record is from RNAcentral.